CCUACGGGAGGCAGCAGUAAGGAAUAUUGGUCAAUGGAGGCAACUCUGAACCAGCCACGCCGCGUGCAGGAAGACGGCCCUAUGGGUUGUAAACUGCUUUUGAACUAGAGAAAACCUUGGUACGUGUACCGAGUUGAUAGUAUAGUUAGAAUAAGCAUCGGCUAACUCCGUGCCAGCAGCCGCGGUAAUACGGAGGGUGCAAGCGUUAUCCGGAUUCACUGGGUUUAAAGGGUGCGUAGGUGGCUUUGUAAGUCAGCGGUGAAAGCCUGGAGCUCAACUCCAGAAUUGCCAUUGAUACUGCAGAGCUUGAAUCAAGUUGAGGUGGAUGGAAUAUUACAUGUAGCGGUGAAAUGCUUAGAUAUGUAAUAGAACACCGAUUGCGAAGGCAGUUCACUAAGCUUGUAUUGACACUGAGGCACGAAAGCGUGGGGAUCAAACAGGAUUAGAUACCCUGGUAGUCCACGCCCUAAACGAUGCAAACUCGACAUUAGACGAUAUACUAGUAGUGUCGACGACGAAGACGUUAGUUAGUCGUAACCGUGGUAGUUACGACGCGAGUUAGUAAGACGAGAGUAGAGGCGNGAGAGNGCGACGGACGACGACGAGGGAGGAGG
This 614-nucleotide ribosomal RNA is filed under the name uncultured bacterium. RNAcentral's name for it is "bacterial SSU rRNA". The stretch from base 1 to 539 matches the Rfam family "Bacterial small subunit ribosomal RNA", at positions 338 to 873 of the family's 1533-position model. The record is from RNAcentral.